RNAcentral lists this ribosomal RNA (678 nucleotides) under uncultured organism. RNAcentral's name for it is "bacterial SSU rRNA". It matches the Rfam family "Bacterial small subunit ribosomal RNA", at positions 785 to 1479 of the family's 1533-position model. The record is from RNAcentral.
CCCUGGUAGUCCACGCUGUAAACUAUGAUCACUCGCUGUUGGCGAUACAUUGUCAGCGGCUGAGCGAAAGCAUUAAGUGAUCCACCUGGGGAGUACGGCCGCAAGGUUGAAACUCAAAGGAAUUGACGGGGGCCCGCACAAGCGGUGGAACAUGUGGUUUAAUUCGAUGAUACGCGAGGAACCUUACCUGGGCUUAAAUGCAGAACGACGUACCGGGAAACUGGUACUCCCUUCGGGGCGGACUGCAAGGUGCUGCAUGGUUGUCGUCAGCUCGUGCCGUGAGGUGUCGGGUUAAGUCCCAUAACGAGCGCAACCCUCAUUGUUAGUUGCCAGCGAGUAAUGUCGGGGACUCUAACGAAACUGCCGGUGUAAACCGUGAGGAAGGUGGGGAUGACGUCAAAUCAGCACGGCCCUUAUGUCCAGGGCUACACACGUGUUACAAUGGCCAGUACAAAGGGCAGCUACCACGCGAGUGGAUGCUAAUCUCUAAAGCUGGUCUCAGUUCGGAUUGAAGUCUGCAACUCGACUUCAUGAAGCUGGAAUCGCUAGUAAUCGCGCAUCAGCCAUGGCGCGGUGAAUACGUUCCCGGGCAUUGUACACACCGCCCGUCAAGCCAUGGAAGCUUGGGGUACCUGAAUCCGUAACCGAAAGGAUCGGCCUAGGUAACGAGUGACUGGG